AACGGCCGUACCAUGCUGAAUAUACCGGUUCUCGUUAGAUCACCGAAGUUAAGCAUCAUUGGGCGCGGUCAGUACUCGUGGGUGACCACCUGGGAACACCGCGUGCCGUU
Caerostris darwini is the source of this 110-nucleotide non-coding RNA. NCBI's taxonomy places the organism in Eukaryota, Metazoa, Arthropoda, Arachnida, Araneae, Araneidae. The record is from the annotation of a GenBank genome assembly.